UGAACUUUUGUUAAUGAAUGGGUGAAAGACGUUAAUUGCUGGCUAAAUACAAAUAGCAUUUGCCCAGAGAAAAUAAUAAAGACAGCAUUAAAGAGUAGCAGCAAAUUACAGCAGCUAACAAAGAAGUGGCUAGGAGCAUCACAGAUGGCAGCGCUUAUCUGGCACUUUGAGGGUAUGCUUUUGGCCAUCUUUGUACCAGCUGACAACACCAUUUGGACGUGACAAUUCGCAGCUCAGAAUAAUUUCCUCAGGGACAUGACGGUCAAGGUGGACAUCCUCCUUGGGGUAGAUUAUCAUCACCGGGGGUUCUGUGAUAGAAGAUUAUAUGCAAUUGAAACAUUGUCCAUUUCCAUCUUUGUACCAAUGGACAACACCAUCAGAACUUGAUACUUCACAUGACAGGACAAGCUGUUCGUUUUCCACAACACUCUUGAAAAGGUCCUCCUCUGGGAUAUCAACAAAUGUUACCGGUGGCGCUGCAGAAAACGGUACACAAAAGAAGAGUUUCAACCCAUCCUUGUACCAGUCGACAUGAGCAGAAGGGUCAUCAGAAAGUUCACAGCUGAGGACAAUGGGAGAACCUUCUUGGACGGACUUGGUCCUGUCACUCUCUUGAAGCUCUGAGAACUUCACAGCAAACUGGAUGUCAUCAUCCUUUGACUCACAGCGGUAAACGCCAGUGUGAGACCGCUCGGCUGAUGGGACAACUAGACUCCUCAAAUUUCCCGCUGACUGGAUGGCUACACCAU
This is a long non-coding RNA of Etheostoma cragini (Arkansas darter), 749 nucleotides long. RefSeq lists it as uncharacterized. The record is from RefSeq and is a predicted model, not a curated record. The transcript is spliced from 5 exons. NCBI's taxonomy places the organism in Eukaryota, Metazoa, Chordata, Actinopteri, Perciformes, Percidae.